Molecule: long non-coding RNA, 850 nt
Organism: Tribolium castaneum (red flour beetle)
Lineage: Eukaryota; Metazoa; Arthropoda; Insecta; Coleoptera; Tenebrionidae
Exons: 2
Source: RefSeq, a predicted model, not a curated record
CAAAGCCAGUAGAUAUACUAAAGUAGCGACACGGACCUUGACAGGGCAACAAUAACGAUUAUACACUCUAGAGAGGGCGCAACUAUCGAAAUUCGACAUAUACCGCAUUAUUUACAUAAAAUGCCUAGCAUUGAAAAGCCUUAGUAAGUGCGUUUUGUCUCUGUUUCUACGUUUAAUCUUCACUAAAUGAAAUUGCUAAAGGGGAUGCUCAAAAGAGAUAUUAGUUAAAGGUCACAUUAGAUGAUAGAUUUAAAUCGAGAAUGUAUUUAUACAGGCAGUUUAGUUUUCCAAGGCUCGACAUUUUUUGUAAUAACGCUGUAAUUUUAAAGGUUCGUCAAAUUGUCAGUAAUUUUGAACAUACGUCAAAACUGUCAAGAUUCUCUCACUUUUGAAAAAUUGGUAAAGAGUACAGUGAUUCUGGUGGUUAUUGGUUAUGAACAGAUUCCAUGGAACUUUCAAACCUGUGCUUCAAUCACGUAAAUAAUAAAUCGACACCAUAAACAUUAAACAAACGAGCCUCCAGACUGUUCAAAGUCGUCCACAUUACGAAGCACGUCUGUGUGAGGAUACUGGAAACUCAUUCAAACAAAAAUUGUUUAAGAAAUGUAAUGUGUAUUUCAGGUAGAUUUAAACAAUACUUCCUUGAAAAUUCAUUCUGUAUUAUUAGAUUCCGCCCUAAUGGGAAGGAAUUUAAAACUGCUCUGCUUACACUGACCUUCGUUUCACAAAAUUUAAGGCAUCUAAAUCUGGGAAUUGUAGCGCAUCGAAGUUUGGUGGACUUUUUAUAGCCACUUAUUCACAACAACUAUGUUAUACAAAACUUAAAUAAUAAAGAGAAAUUCAGGUUGUA